This 1029-nucleotide ribosomal RNA is filed under the name Triticum aestivum (bread wheat). Its description in RNAcentral is "partial small subunit ribosomal RNA". The record is from RNAcentral. Lineage: Eukaryota; Viridiplantae; Streptophyta; Magnoliopsida; Poales; Poaceae.
AUGAGCUAUUCUAAAAGUGACAUUAUUAUGUGGAUCUUCCAAAAACAAGAAGUAAAUAAUGUUGUUGUCUUAUGGCUGUUGUUUCUAGUGCUGGCAUCAUGGUUCAGGCUCAAGUACCCUCAUGUCGCCAUGGGGGCCCUGGCGUCCUCUGCACCAAUCCUGCAGUUCGACGACAUCACGCCAUGGUCAGGCUUCAAAGACACUGUCACGCAGGACUUCAAGUUCGAGAGCCUGAAUUGCUUCAGUGUCAUCAAGGCGGUCUGGGAUGUGUUAGAUGACAGGGGAUCAAACGAGACAGGGCUCUUGGAGCUAAGCAAAACCUUCAGAACCUGCAAGACCAUGCAGUCCACUGAUUCGCUGACAAACUUUCUAUAUACGGCAUUCAUCUACACGGCCAUGACGGACUAUCCAACUCCAGCCAAUUUCCUGCAAAAUCUGCCUGCUUAUCCUGUCAAAGAGAUGUGCAAGAUCAUUGAUUCUUUUCCCGCGGGAGCAGACGUCAUCGAAAAAGCUUUCGCAGCGGCGAGCCUGUACUACAAUUACACAGGCGACCAGAAGUGCUUCCAGGUGGAAGGUGGGGAUGACCCCCAUGGCCUCAGCGGCUGGGACUGGCAGGCCUGCACAGAGAUGGUCAUGCCAACGACUGUCUCGAAUGAGAGCAUGUUUCCACCAUUCAACUUCAGCUACGAGGAGAGGUCCGAGAGGUGCCUUGCCAGCUAUGGAGUUCGUCCGAGGAUGCACUGGAUCACUACUGAAUAUGGUGGCCAUAAAAUUGACAAAGUUCUCAAGAGGUUUGGGAGCAACAUUAUCUUCUCCAACGGGAUGCGAGACCCGUGGAGUCGAGGCGGGGUGCUCAAGAACAUAUCAUCCAGCAUCAUUGCUCUUGUCACAGAGAAAGGGGCCCAUCAUUUGGACUUCAGAUCUGCAACCAAGGAUGACCCAGACUGGGUUGUAGAACAAAGGAGACAGGAAGUUGAGAUCAUACAUGGAUGGGUAGAUCAGUAUAACAAGGACAUUGCACAGAUGUAG